This 311-nucleotide ribosomal RNA is filed under the name Bacillus sp. R-31020. Its description in RNAcentral is "bacterial SSU rRNA". It matches the Rfam family "Bacterial small subunit ribosomal RNA", at positions 169 to 475 of the family's 1533-position model. The record is from RNAcentral. Lineage: Bacteria; Bacillati; Bacillota; Bacilli; Caryophanales; Bacillaceae.
CCGGAUGCUUGAUUGAACCGCAUGGUUCAAUCAUAAAAGGUGGCUUUUAGCUACCACUURCAGAUGGACCCGCGGCGCAUUAGCUAGUUGGUGAGGUAACGGCUCACCAAGGCGACGAUGCGUAGCCGACCUGAGAGGGUGAUCGGCCACACUGGGACUGAGACACGGCCCAGACUCCUACGGGAGGCAGCAGUAGGGAAUCUUCCGCAAUGGACGAAAGUCUGACGGAGCAACGCCGCGUGAGUGAUGAAGGUUUUCGGAUCGUAAAACUCUGUUGUUAGGGAAGAACAAGUACCGUUCGAAUAGGGCGG